CCAGGCGUCGAGCGGCGAACGGGUGAGUAACGCGUAGGAAUCUGCCUGAUAGAGGGGGAUAGCCCGGGGAAACUCGGAUUAAUACCGCAUACGCCCUACGGGGGAAAGCAGGGGAUCUUCGGACCUUGCGCUAUCAGAUGAGCCUGCGUCGGAUUAGCUAGUUGGUAGGGUAAAGGCCUACCAAGGCGACGAUCCGUAACUGGUCUGAGAGGAUGAUCAGUCACACUGGAACUGAGACACGGUCCAGACUCCUACGGGAGGCAGCAGUGGGGAAUAUUGGACAAUGGGGGCAACCCUGAUCCAGCCAUGCCGCGUGUGUGAAGAAGGCCUUCGGGUUGUAAAGCACUUUAAGCAGGGAGGAAAGGGUGAUGGCUAAUACCCAUCAUCAUUGACGUUACCUGCAGAAUAAGCACCGGCUAACUUCGUGCCAGCAGCCGCGGUAAUACGAAGGGUGCAAGCGUUAAUCGGAAUUACUGGGCGUAAAGCGCGCGUAGGCGGUUUGAUAAGUUGGAUGUGAAAGCCCCGGGCUCAACCUGGGA
This 539-nucleotide ribosomal RNA is filed under the name uncultured Hahella sp. RNAcentral describes it as "bacterial SSU rRNA". It matches the Rfam family "Bacterial small subunit ribosomal RNA", at positions 84 to 619 of the family's 1533-position model. Lineage: Bacteria; Pseudomonadati; Pseudomonadota; Gammaproteobacteria; Oceanospirillales; Hahellaceae. The record is from RNAcentral.